UAACGCGUAGGCAACCUACCCUUUAGACGGGGACAACAUUCCGAAAGGAGUGCUAAUACCGGAUGUGAUCAUCGUGCCGCAUGGCAGGAUGAAGAAAGAUGGCCUCUACAAGUAAGCUAUCGCUAAAGGAUGGGCCUGCGUCUGAUUAGCUAGUUGGUAGUGUAACGGACUACCAAGGCGAUGAUCAGUAGCCGGUCUGAGAGGAUGAACGGCCACAUUGGGACUGAGACACGGCCCAAACUCCUACGGGAGGCAGCAGUGGGGAAUCUUCCGCGAUGGACGAAAGUCUGACGGAGCAACGCCGCGUGAGUGAUGAAGGAUUUCGGUCUGUAAAGCUCUGUUGUUUAUGACGAACGUGCAGUGUGUGAACAAUGCAUUGCAAUGACGGUAGUAAACGAGGAAGCCACGGCUAACUACGUGCCAGCAGCCGCGGUAAUACGUAGGUGGCGAGCGUUGUCCGGAAUUAUUGGGCGUAAAGAGCAUGUAGGCGGCUUAAUAAGUCGAGCGUGAAAAUGCGGGGCUCAACCCCGUAUGGCGCUGGAAACUGUUAGGCUUGAGUGCAGGAGAGGAAAGGGGAAUUCCCAGUGUAGCGGUGAAAUGCGUAGAUAUUGGGAGGAACACCAGUAGCGAAGGCGCCUUUCUGGACUGUGUCUGACGCUGAGAUGCGAAAGCCAGGGUAGCGAACGGGAUUAGAU
This 695-nucleotide ribosomal RNA is filed under the name uncultured bacterium. RNAcentral's name for it is "bacterial SSU rRNA". It matches the Rfam family "Bacterial small subunit ribosomal RNA", at positions 111 to 783 of the family's 1533-position model. The record is from RNAcentral.